GUCUAUGGCCAUACCACCCUGAACGCGCCCAAUCUCAUCUGAUCUCGGAAGCUAAGCAAGGUCGGGCCUGGUUAGUACUUGGAUGGGGGAAAAAUGAGAUGGGAUUCACA
This 110-nucleotide ribosomal RNA is filed under the name Octodon degus (degu). The record is from RNAcentral. Lineage: Eukaryota; Metazoa; Chordata; Mammalia; Rodentia; Octodontidae.